UACGAAGGGGGCUAGCGUUGCUCGGAAUCACUGGGCGUAAAGGGCGUGUAGGCGGUUGGUCAAGUCCGAUGUGAAAGCCCGGGGCUCAGCUUCGGAAGUGCAUCGGAAACUAGCCAGCUGGAGCGCGAUAGAGGAGGGCGGAAUUCCUGGUGUAGCGGUGAAAUGCGUAGAUAUCAGGAGGAACACCGGCGGCGAAGGCGGCCCUCUGGAUCGUUGCUGACGCUGAGACGCGAAAGCGUGGGGAGCAAACAGG
RNAcentral lists this ribosomal RNA (253 nucleotides) under uncultured bacterium. RNAcentral describes it as "partial 16S ribosomal RNA". It matches the Rfam family "Bacterial small subunit ribosomal RNA", at positions 524 to 776 of the family's 1533-position model. The record is from RNAcentral.